RNAcentral lists this small RNA (580 nucleotides) under Pongo abelii (Sumatran orangutan). RNAcentral's name for it is "processed transcript". The record is from RNAcentral. Lineage: Eukaryota; Metazoa; Chordata; Mammalia; Primates; Hominidae.
AGCAGCUCUUACGAGCAUCAGGGGCUCAGAAGAGGGUGCUCUUCCCAGGGCAUCCAGCAGGCGCGCUGUUCCACGUGCCUCUGAACCCAGCUUCCCGCUUAGCAGCAGGCCUUGAGUGCACCUGGCAUACAAACACCUGCCUGCCCACUCCCAGUGCUGAAGACUGACCAGUCAAGGAGGUGUUGGUGAGAGUGUUGUGUUCACCAUGUGGACGAUUACCGCAUCUUCUUUGCUGACUUUGGUAACCGGGUGUCCAGGGAGGAGUGACCGGGAGUGGCCAAGCAGUUGCCUGGACUCAGCUUCUGACUCUGCAGCCGGGAGUCAGAUGCAGGCCCAAGGGUCCAGGGGAGUUGUUCAACGCCUGGAAUCGCCAUGCACUGCACUGUGGGCCGCACGACGCUCCUGCUCUGUUCUCCCAGGCACAGACAGGCACUUGGAAGGCAGCUUUGCUCCUCUGGCCACCUGGAAACCUCCCAGCAGUUCAGAUGGGACAAACUGGGGGCCUGUCAGAACACCCACUUGUGCCGGGAAGGCCAGGCCCCGGCCUGCUCCGAUGAACGUCAGGAUGGUGGCUGCAGCA